UGGUGGCGGACCAACAACUCGUCGCACCGGCUCGUCAGCAGCUCUUUAGGAGCAUCUUCUACGGGCUGUUUGCCAGGCAUGCAUGGCUGGUCGCAGAAGCUGCUCUCCAGGGAGCUGGCAGCAGAUCGAUUCUUACAAGUUGCAAGCAGAUUCUUCUGUUGAUUUCGAUGCAUAGCUCCAAAUUUGCAGUCGUCGUCUUCCACGGGGUGAAGGAUGUGGUGUCUACCGCAA
RNAcentral lists this long non-coding RNA (231 nucleotides) under Setaria italica (foxtail millet). RNAcentral describes it as "long non-coding RNA (SITA_LNC005627)". The record is from RNAcentral. Lineage: Eukaryota; Viridiplantae; Streptophyta; Magnoliopsida; Poales; Poaceae.